RNAcentral lists this long non-coding RNA (220 nucleotides) under Elaeis guineensis (African oil palm). RNAcentral describes it as "long non-coding RNA (EGUI_LNC068520)". Lineage: Eukaryota; Viridiplantae; Streptophyta; Magnoliopsida; Arecales; Arecaceae. The record is from RNAcentral.
AUCUAUAUGUCAUACCAGUGUCUUCACACUAUUUGAUUAUAAGGACAACCAACACAUAUGACACACAAUGACCUACACUUGAUAUCGCUAUCAUCCUAGUAAUAGUGUAUCGUUUGAUUGUGAACCAAUUUAAGGACUAUACGAUAAAUCCUCCUUUAUUGAUCAAAUAGUCCUAAGGACUUCAUCACAACAUAGAAGUUUGUUAGAAGAUGUAAUCUUG